RNAcentral lists this small nuclear RNA (154 nucleotides) under Colobus angolensis palliatus. RNAcentral describes it as "U1 spliceosomal RNA (ENSCANG00000020254.1)". It matches the Rfam family "U1 spliceosomal RNA". Rfam says of the family: U1 is a small nuclear RNA (snRNA) component of the spliceosome (involved in pre-mRNA splicing). Its 5' end forms complementary base pairs with the 5' splice junction, thus defining the 5' donor site of an intron. The record is from Rfam by way of RNAcentral. Lineage: Eukaryota; Metazoa; Chordata; Mammalia; Primates; Cercopithecidae.
AUACUUACCUGGCAGGGGAGAUACCAUGAUCAUGAAGGUGGUUUUUCCAGGGCAAGCCUUAUCCAUUGCACUCUGGAUGUGCUGACCCCUGCGAUGUCCCCAAAUGUGGGAAACUCGACUGCAUGAUUUGUGAUAGUGAGGCACUGCAGUCACA